GCAUGUUCACAUGAUUAAAGGUAUUCCGGUAGACGAUGGGGAUGCGUUCCAUUAGAUAGUAGGCGGGGUAACGGCCCACCUAGUCUUCGAUGGAUAGGGGUUCUGAGAGGAAGGUCCCCCACAUUGGAACUGAGACACGGUCCAAACUCCUACGGGAGGCAGCAGUGAGGAAUAUUGGUCAAUGGGCGAGAGCCUGAACCAGCCAAGUAGCGUGAAGGAUGACUGCCCUAUGGGUUGUAAACUUCUUUUAUAAAGGAAUAAAGUCGGGUAUGCAUACCUGUUUGCAUGUACUUUAUGAAUAAGGAUCGGCUAACUCCGUGCCAGCAGCCGCGGUAAUACGGAGGAUCCGAGCGUUAUCCGGAUUUAUUGGGUUUAAAGGGAGCGUAGAUGGAUGUUUAAGUCAGUUGUGAAAGUUUGCGGCUCAACCGUAAAAUUGCAGUUGAUACUGGAUAUCUUGAGUGCAGUUGAGGCAGGCGGAAUUCGUGGUGUAGCGGUGAAAUGCUUAGAUAUCACGAAGAACUCCGAUUGCGAAGGCAGCCUGCUAAGCUGCAACUGACAUUGAGGCUCGAAAGUGUGGGUAUCAAACAGGAUUAGAUACCCUGGUAGUCCACACGGUAAACGAUGAAUACUCGUUGUUUGCGAUAUACAGCAAGCGGCC
RNAcentral lists this ribosomal RNA (658 nucleotides) under uncultured bacterium. RNAcentral describes it as "bacterial SSU rRNA". It matches the Rfam family "Bacterial small subunit ribosomal RNA", at positions 187 to 848 of the family's 1533-position model. The record is from RNAcentral.